RNAcentral lists this ribosomal RNA (253 nucleotides) under uncultured bacterium. RNAcentral describes it as "partial 16S ribosomal RNA". It matches the Rfam family "Bacterial small subunit ribosomal RNA", at positions 524 to 776 of the family's 1533-position model. The record is from RNAcentral.
UACGGAGGGGGCGAGCGUUAUUCGGAAUUAUUGGGCGUAAAGGGCGCGUAGGCGGCUGUACAAGUCAAAGGUGAAAUCCCUCGGCUCAACUGAGGAACUGCCUUUGAAACUGUACGGCUUGAGGCCGGGAGGGGGUAGCGGAAUUCCCAGUGUAGCGGUGAAAUGCGUAGAUACUGGGAGGAACACCAGUGGCGAAGGCGGCUACCUGGACCGGUUCUGACGCUGAGGCACGAAAGCUAGGGGAGCAAACAGG